CCUCUGCAGGUGCAGCCCUAAAAAGCAAAAAACAGCAAAAAACAAUCCAGUGAAUAGCAAGGACAUCUGUAGCCUUCAGGGGGUUCAAACUGCGUCAGAGAGUGACUGCUGGCCAUCCCCCCUCAGGGACAGGGUCCAGGUUCCCACCCGCUGAUCAGAGCCCGGUGGGUGACGCGUUUAGUAUGCUCACCAUCUUCAGCUGGUCGUAGGUGCCAUACUCAUUACAUUCCCAGCAAUUCUCAACAGUAUUGCCUUGAAUUUUUAAGUAGCAACUGGAUCAUCAUGUGACACGAGGCAAAGGAAGUUGAAGCACAUUUGAUCAGAGCUUGUUAUAAUCAAAACGUCCAGUUAAUGACCCUGUAUUGUGGUGCGUCAUCAUUGCUGUGCGUCUGAUCUUACCCGGCAGUAAGUUUCGUAAAGACAAGAGCCGUCUGUUUAUCAUUCAUGGCACCUUGCCAGCAGGACAUGCUUCAUAUGUGUUUGCCGGAAAAGUGGUCGUGGUAAUAAGCAGAAAUGGUCAUUGGUUCUCCUCUAUCACUCUGAUGGUAUUGCUUUUCUGUGGUAAGACCAAAAUUCUCAUUUGUGUCUUUUUUUAGUCUUUUCCACCUAUAAAUGGUACCACUGACCACUGUCGAUAGAUUUCCUGAUGCUGGAAACAGGUUGAUUCUGUGCAGCCAGUGACCCAAGCACACACACGUGGACUCAGUAAGAGAUGAGCGUCUUUGAUACAUUUCCCCAAAAUUCAGGGUUCCAGGUCAUCCCACAGCUCCUCUCCUAAAUGGCCCAAGUUGACAUUCCUCAAGUUUCACCUGUUCCCACCCUCUUGUUCAGCAUAACCGUCAUAACCACAGGCUCUGGAGCCAGGUGGCCUGAGUUAAGUCCUCUCCCUUUAUUUACUAGCUGCGCCAUGCUGGGCAAGUUGUUUCACCUGUUACUGUUUUCUUAUCUGUAAAAUGAGGGUCAUUGUGGUAGGUUGCAAAAAUGGCCACAAGUUCUUCUUCCGGCACCUGCUUCCUCGGCAGACCCGCCCACAUCGACUCUGGCCUGGGUCACGUGCCUUCCUUUGACCAAUGGGACGAUAUCAAUAAAGAGCACGCAGAGCCUUGAAAAGGGCUUUCCCCCUGGGGCUGGCGCUUGUGCCACCUUGGCACCCUGAAGCUGGGGGAGCCUGCUAGAGACCAGCCCCGGUCAUCCCACUAACGAGGCCACCAGAAACCAGCCCACCCCCAGUCAACCUGCCAACAGAGCAGAGGUGCACAGAUGCUGCGCCGCCGACUCCUCACUCCCGUUGCUUCUGACAAGGCGUCUGCUUUUAUCUGCCCCUCGUUUCUCUGUACACAGCGUGUCUUUCCACUCCGGCUGCUUGUAAGAUUUCCUCUUUACUAUAGUGUCAACUUCACAGCACGUGAAUUACGUCUCAAGAAAACUUUUUAGUGGCGGAGUGUAAACCGAACUACCAAUAGUGGCUACCUCUGGGUAAAGGCCUACCGGGAUCUUGGCUGCAAGACAGAAAUGGAAAAUUCCCCACAAGAAGCCUCUCGUCAUGGCAUCUGUCUGUCUCACACUGAUCUUCUCAGAUGUUCCUGGUGAGGCGGGGGGAGAAAGCUCAGGUGCUACAAAACAAUGAUGCUGCAUUGGAAAGGCUGAUGGAUGCAAAGAAACACAACCUUCACCCUGAUGAUGCCUAAGAAGGAAGGCUUUCUCCUCGGGUGAUACUGAGGAGAAAGUAUAAAAUUACAGAAGCAAAAACCAGGAGACAGAUGUGCUGUCAGAAGCUGGCUCUCUCCCCCACCCCGGCCAAGUCCGAAAACCUUUGCUGUAAAUGUAUAGAGGAAGCAAACGUCACUGCACUGAGAAUAAAAAAAAAAAAAAAACAAAUUACACUGGUUUCUGUAUGUGGCUUUUGUAAAUCAGUUUAAUGACGUCAUUUCCACCUCGAAUGUGUGAUAAUAAGGUCAGGGUUCCCCAGCAGACGGCAGGAAAAACCCCUCUGUAUCACCGUAUGGCACCUCCCCGCCUCGUCUGUUUUUCCCUUGAAGCUGACAAUGAAUCAUUUGUUGACAUCAGUGGUGCCAUCACACGGCAGGUACGAAAUUCAAAUAAAUGUGCCUGGUGGAGUCGUACUGUUGCUGGAGUGGAGUGACCCUGGCACCUCCUUGGGGAGGCCAAACAGGACGAAGUCUGUUUCUCUGUACUGUAUGGAAAUAAAUAACCAUGUGUCCAAAAUUACAGCCCCUGCCUUGCCACACUAAACUGUAGAACAUGCUGGCAGCACCUAGUACCUCUUGCAAAAUAUAAAUACACAUCCCAGUGCAUUGAGAGUUUGCAUGGACAUAACCCACAUCAAACUUAAAAUAGCAACAAAGGAUGUUUGCAAACCUGUGACACAGAUUCUCUGGAAAUGGACCGGGAAUCAGGUCAAGAGCUAAGAAGCCUUUUAGGAUCAGAAGGAGAUGUCCCAUGAGAAGACAGACGUUAUCCUCUGAGACCCCCUAGCCCUCCAACUCGACCCUGCUCUCCGCAAAGAAUUCCAUCUGAGUCCUUAAGGGCACACGUCUGCCCGUGUUCCCAGUCCGCUGCAGAAAUGAACUGAGGCGCAGCUCCAUAGCCAUGAGGGCUUUGAGGUCUUCCUUUUCUAAUUUGUUUGUUUUGGCAUUUGAAUGUAGUUUGGUAAUUUCCUGGAGAGGAAGGAUCUGGGGUAGAUUGGGCAGCAACCUUCAUCAGGAGCCAAAAAUGUCCUAUCUGCUCAUCUUCCAUCCUGACUCUCUUCUUUUUUUUCUCUUUUGUCUUUUUAGGGCCGUACCCUCGGCAUAUGGAGGUUACCAGGCUAGGGGUCGA
Non-coding RNA from Sus scrofa (pig), 2838 nucleotides. Lineage: Eukaryota; Metazoa; Chordata; Mammalia; Artiodactyla; Suidae. The record is from RefSeq and is a predicted model, not a curated record.